Molecule: ribosomal RNA, 497 nt
Filed under: uncultured bacterium
Lineage: Bacteria
Description: partial 16S ribosomal RNA
Rfam family: Bacterial small subunit ribosomal RNA
Source: RNAcentral
GAUGAACGCUGGCGGCGUGCCUAAUACAUGCAAGUCGAGCGAACAGACGAGGAGCUUGCUCCUCUGACGUUAGCGGCGGACGGGUGAGUAAAACGUGGAUAACCUACCUAUAAGACUGGGAUAACUUCGGGAAACCGGAGCUAAUACCGGAUAAUAUAUUGAACCGCAUGGUUCAAUAGUGAAAGACGGUUUUGCUGUCACUUAUAGAUGGAUCCGCGCCGCAUUAGCUAGUUGGUAAGGUAACGGCUUACCAAGGCAACGAUGCGUAGCCGACCUGAGAGGGUGAUCGGCCACACUGGAACUGAGACACGGUCCAGACUCCUACGGGAGGCAGCAGUAGGGAAUCUUCCGCAAUGGGCGAAAGCUUGACGGAGCAACGCCGCGUGAGUGAUGAAGGUCUUCGGAUCGUAAAACUCUGUUAUUAGGGAAGAACAAAUGUGUAAGUAACUAUGCACGUCUUGACGGUACCUAAUCAGAAAGCCACGGCUAACUACGUG